This 30-nucleotide non-coding RNA is filed under the name Mus musculus (house mouse). The record is from RNAcentral. Lineage: Eukaryota; Metazoa; Chordata; Mammalia; Rodentia; Muridae.
UNCUUCAGCCAGUACUCUCUGGGUUUUGCC